UCUGAAUCUAGCCCUGAGUCAAAAGACACAAUGAAUUAUGACAAAAGUGGGUGUAUUCCAGAGAUGGGAGGUUAGAAAAUAAUACGAAAAUGAUAUUAUUCUGACCUUACUCUAUUACUCAGCCCCAAUUCCCCCACACUUUGUGAACCUUUUUGUGAGUACAAUGCUAAGGCAGUUUAAAAAAAUGCAACUAUAUACAAGUUCAUCAAUUCCAGAUGUAAAGUCAAUAGCAAUUCAAGUGAUGACCACAGCAGUAACCUGGAGACCUGCAGUCUCAAUGUAUCAGAUCACAACUUAAAAAUAUCUCCCAAAGUAAAACACCAAGUACAAACCCCAGGUAAAUGACGGUCCUGAGGAACAGAUGUCAGGACAUCAGAUGUGAAGUUAAAGGAUCCAUCUAAAGACUAUCUGUGGCGACCAAAGGGAGCCACAGUGAGGCAGCCAAACGUGAGCACUGAGAUGAAGGAAAUAGGCCCGAAGCAGCCUGCUCAUGCUCUGAGACUGGAGGAAGAGGGUGAACGCAAUCUCUGGAGGGAAGCCCUGACUUCAGGCAGCUCAGGCACAGAAUGACCCAUUACACUGAGUAGAUACUCCCGUCUGCUAUCAGAUGCCUGCCUAGUGUCACAGCAUCUCAUCUGCAAGAUGACUCACAUCUCGUCUGUGAGAUAACCUACAAUCUGGGUUACAUGCAUCUGCAGCACCUCAUCUGCAAGAUAACCCCCAAUCUGGGUUAUAAGCACAGAACUCAUCUCCUCAGGAAAUGAUAUCAAAUAAUAAGAAAUAAA
This 785-nucleotide long non-coding RNA is filed under the name Homo sapiens (human). RNAcentral's name for it is "HSALNT0218823". Lineage: Eukaryota; Metazoa; Chordata; Mammalia; Primates; Hominidae. The record is from RNAcentral.